UACGUAGGGUGCGAGCGUUAAUCGGAAUUACUGGGCGUAAAGCGUGCGCAGGCGGUGAUGUAAGACAGAUGCGAAAUCCCCGGGCUCAACCUGGGAACUGCAUUUGUGACUGCAUCGCUGGAGUGCGGCAGAGGGGGAUGGAAUUCCGCGUGUAGCAGUGAAAUGCGAAGAUAUGCGGAGGAACACCGAUGGCGAAGGCAAUCCCCUGGGCCUGCACUGACGCUCAUGCACGAAAGCGUGGGGAGCAAACAGG
This 253-nucleotide ribosomal RNA is filed under the name uncultured bacterium. RNAcentral's name for it is "partial 16S ribosomal RNA". It matches the Rfam family "Bacterial small subunit ribosomal RNA", at positions 524 to 776 of the family's 1533-position model. The record is from RNAcentral.